Molecule: long non-coding RNA, 1168 nt
Organism: Mesocricetus auratus (golden hamster)
Lineage: Eukaryota; Metazoa; Chordata; Mammalia; Rodentia; Cricetidae
Exons: 3
Source: RefSeq, a predicted model, not a curated record
UUGAAGCAGUUUUUCAAUCUCAAGACUCUGGGAGUCAAAAGAUCUUUUCACAGGAGUAGCCUAGGGUCACCUGCAUGUCAAGAGUUUACAUACUAUGAAAGCCUCUCAUCCUAUGGGCUUGGCAACCAAGACUGUUGUUCUAAUACCUCUGCCCUCAUUACCAUGAAGACCACUGGAGUCUGGGAUAUCUGUUUAGAUUUAACAGACACCAUCCAGGGAGCACCUUGUGGACUGCAAAACUGCUGAUCUCUGGACUUGCUGAAAGCUGCUGUGAACCAAUCCAGUUGGUGUGAUUGCUCAGUGUCCUUUCACCUGGAAGAGCUAGUCAGAUGUUUCUGAUAAACGCCCCAUUGCCCAGCCUUUGACUAGACAUUCAGCCUACCUGGGCCCUGACAGCCAACAUCCCAAUUUCAGCUGGAAGCAGUUACAGAAUAAAGUACAUCAUCCCUGUCCCCUUAACAGGAUGAAAAUGCUAAGUCAAAGAUAAAUUCCUUUUAGGAAAAACCUGUUACUUACAUGUCAAUCAUUCCAGGGUAGUCCAGCAAAAAUAAAACCUUGACUGUACAUAAUAAAACUCAUUAUGUUGACCCAUCUAGGUGCUGCAACACUGGGUUGACACCUUGCAAUCAUGGUAUGAUCCUAAAUGAAGGAAAAAAGGGGUAAUGUGUGAUGGUCUAGGUAUUCCCUUAGAACCCCGGACACACAGAACCCAUGAUUGGGUCCUCUCUAGUUUCUUGUGGGGGUGAAGUGGCCUAAGAUAGCAUUAGUAUAGCUAUGACAGGUUGCAGACAAACAAUAUUGGGACUAGGUCUCACUCUUACAAUAACAAGAAUAAACAUACUGUACCCUAUGGGGGGACCAAUCAGAAUUGAGACAAACAAGUACUAGAUGCUCCAAAACAUUAAGGAUAGCUUACCUAACUUGUAUAUAGGUUGCCAAUCUCCUUGCAGCAAUGUCAGUAGCAAUCCCUGUUUGACAGGACUUCUGUUGCCCUACUCUUGCCCAAUAAGACAUUCAACCCCCAUCUGAUUCUGGAAUUCCCCCAUGCCCACAUUCUUUACUCCUUAAAAUCCCUGACAUAGAUGAGCUCAGUGUUUUCCCUGAUCCAACUGCUGUAUCACAGUAGACAGAAGGCCCAAGCUUGAGUUUGCAAUAAAAGCUCUUUGCU